GUAUCAGGAGCCUGAGUAUCUUGGGAGCUAUGAUUCUUCAAAAAAAAAAAAAAAAGAAUAAGAAAGCCAGUACAUAAUUUGAUCUUGUAGGUGCAGGGAUGCCAGUAAAGCUCAAGUUGGAUUCUGAUCUCUGGGAUCUUAUCAGGACCCUGUUUAUGAAGUACUGAAGCACAUAGAGGCAGCAUUCUCUCAAGCCACCACUCGUCAUUAAGAGCAAGCAAUAUGAGAAGACUUGUGAUUCCUCCUGGAUAUGAGCUGCCCAUAACUACUGACUCACGCUCCACCUAUCAGGCAGAAGUUCCAAAGCUUUUUGAGAUGAUUAGAUUUUUACAGUGGCUGUUUAAUUUCAAUUUCAUUUUCUCUGUGAAUCUUUUUUGCCGUCUGUGUUAAGACAACAAAAAAGUCAUUUUAUUCUCACCAAUGACUAAUGGUUCAUUAUGUAUGAUGAGCAUUUCAUUUUCUCUGCAGUGUUCAAUCAUCACUGUUUAACCUGAGAUGAGCAAGGAUGAGGGAAACAUCGUGCUGUGCUGAAGCACCUCACCUAAGUACUGUUGAAAGGUCCAAUAUAACUUGCAGUGGUGGAGGAAAGCUGCAGUCAGAGGGGUGUCCAUGAAGAAGCAGUUAUCGGCAUUGAGAGCCUGCACCUUGCACUGGAGAGUCAAUUCACACUUCGCCUCUCCUUCAAAACAACAGUCUCAAACUAUUUCUGUAUGUUGUUGAAGUUAUUUACAAGCUCCAUAUUUUACUUCAUUGUCACUUUGUUUGGUGCUAGGCACUCAUUGCUAAAAGUAUGCUCUACACAUCCCAGAGAUCAAUCAGCCGUACUAAUACCGUAUUUUCCGCACUUUAAGGCGCACCGGAUUAUAAGGCGCACCUUCAAUGGAUGGCCCAUUUUAAAACUUUGUCCAUAUAUAAGGCGCACCGGAUUAUAAGGGGCGCCUUCAUGAAUGGCCCAUUUUAAAACUUUGUCCAUUUAUAAGAUAUAUACAUUUGGCCCGCAGGCUGGACUGUGGACACGCCUGCUGUAGUGGCUCAAUAUUGGUCCAUAUAUAAGGCACACCGGAUUAUAAGUCGCACUGUCGGCUUUUGAGAAAGUUGGAGGUUUCAAGGUGCGCCUUAUAGUGUGGAAAAUACGGUACCCAAUUUUUUCAGUUGUGUGGCUAUUGCUGCUCAAAUUAUUUUUUUCACACAAAAUUCACCAAGCAAAAUCAAAAAGUCCAGUGAAGAGAUAUUUUGUGACAUAAAAGAAAAUACUUCAUCAAAAGUGCUGGCUUUAAAGGCCUGUAGGCCAAAUGUGGUCUGCCAUGUAAUUUAAUGUGUCAGGGGGAAGCUUAAAAGACUUCAUUGCCUUAAAAUAAUUAAGUCACAUGCAUUGACCAAGAACUACUUUUCCCACAAUGCAUAAAAUUACGGUAACCGCAAAGUGGCAUCCUUCCAUUUGUAGGCAGCAAAGAAGAUUUUUCAACAGGAAGAAUCGAGAAAUGCAAAUAUGGAGCCGAGUUAUUUCUUAAAAGCAGAUCUGUAAUCAUGAAUAAUGAGGCCUAAAAUGGUCCUGAACUGGAUGAUUUAAUUCAUUCGUUUGCUUGUUCAUUUGUUCGCUUGUUCGUUUGUUCGUUGGUUUGUUUGUUUGUUCGUUCGUUCAUUCAUUUAGUUGCAGGGAUGGCGGUUUAUGCUCUUUACUCUAACAUUCUGGCCCUUAUUAGUGUGUUUGAUGUGGUCAUACUGCUUAAAUAUUAAGCCAAUGACACCACAGUUUAACGUUGGUAUUAAUGGAACAAAUAAAGUUCUAGUUAGCACACAGGCUUUCAAUGGACAUGUUUCGAUUGAACAAACUUAAUUUUCUUCCUUGUUGUCUUCUUGCUACAUGAUGCGUGAAUUCAUAUGGAGUCAUUUUAGAGAAUUUUAUGACGAAAAAAAAUUGCGAGUGUGAAGCUGCACAUUGAACAUCAUUAUUUAAUCACUCAGGUCCCUGUUUUUGUAGACAGCAUGGUACAUUUGACAUAAACACUGUCACAUCCUUAUUUUCAUUCUGGGGUGAAAUCUCGUACGGCGUGUUUGGGAAUUUGGUAGACUGCACUAAGGUACAAGGGUGCUCUGGUGGACCAAGGGCAUUUUCUUUUACAUGCUGCUGGCUCAUCUGAUAUUUAGGUGACAGAAAGUAGACAGGAUUUUUGAUCAGGAAAAUGUUGGUACAGAUGCAAUUUUGGCGGAUUUGAUCGAGCUGCAGGCCACCAGAUUCUGACGUCAGCAAAUGUUUGUGGUGGGUCAUUGUAUUUUAUUUAUAAAUAUGAUAACAGGGUGCACUGAGCCCUCUAAUUCAUAAAAUCUAAUUCAUUAAACGCAUGAUUAGUCUUUUUGCGUUGUUAAGUCCCCACUUCACAGUGGCAUGUGCUAGUGUUGUCAAAAGAACCGAUACUUUCUGCACCAAUUCGGUAAAAACACGCUAAAAAUACGUCGAUACCUGCUUUUUUGUGGUACCGACUACCGAGUAUUUAACUUUUCACUCGAUUCUUGCCGGAACUGAAGGGGGCAGUAUACGCAUGCGAGCAGCAGGUAGUUUCUCAAACGUGAGACAUGUUUGGCAAAAAGAAGACGUCUGGUCACCCUAAACCGGAGCAAUAAUAGAUUCGAACAAGCCAACGUGCAAAAAUUGCUUGAGGGGUUUGAGGCUUGAGAGGCUCCAUGCCAUUGCUGCUCUUUUUCAAUGAAUAUAGUUGAAUAUUGUUAUUUAUUAACAGUCUUGCUAGUUUUCAUAGCUGUACGACUUGAAGGCGCUAUGUCAGUGCUGCUCUUUUUUAAUGUAUAAAGUUUACUACAUGGUUUAAGCAGUUUUAAAUAAAUUUGUGAUUUUAAAAGCGGAUUCUGUUUUUUUGUUGUUUUUUACCAUGGUACCGAAUUAGUAUCGAGAAUUGUGGUAAAUCACAGGUAUUGGUACAGACUACAGAAAUUCUGGUCUUGUGACAUCACAAUCAUUCGCACAGUUAGACUGCUAGACGUGCUGAACAUCAAAAUAGGGCCCACAGUAUUAUGGUAUGGCUUCUUCUGGAGUUGUCAGACAUCAAUCUCUUUAUUUCCUUGGUGAAUCAUAUUUAAAAUAUAACAUAUAUAUAUUACAUUUGACAUGUAGAAAUGCAUUCACCAGACAAGUAGUAAGCAGUGACGGCUACAGCAUUAUCACACAAUGAAACACAGAUAUUAAAAACCAUAUGUUUCUGGGGGACAAACCACAUUGCUUUGAUAACAGCAUGUUUGAAAGAUGGAAAGAUUUCUUUCCCUUUGCCUAGCAUAUCAGCAUAUAUUAAUGACAAGUGCACUCAACACGAGUAGUAUCUGGAGAUAUUGCGUCUAUCUCAAAAGGUUGAAGCAGUGGCUAGAUUAGAGUCUGGUGUGAAUCGAUAAACACUGUCAAACACCUCAGGGGGUCCCCCCAAUUUUCCCACAAACCACUAUAGCCCCCUAGGCAGAGAGAAACAAUGGUGGGGCAUCAAUACCUACAAUUGGGACAAGGUAGAACAGAAGAGACAUCAACCAAAAUCACACAAGUGGGUCAGCUUUCCUCUAGACAGUAAAUGGGUGCGCAAUUGUUUGCAUCAAUUGAAACCUGUGGGAGAUGGAGGACACGAUGGGGAAGGGGUGCCAUUAGAAGUGCAUUGGUAUAGAAGGUGGGUGCUUGGGAGGUGAAUGGGGAGUGGAGGUUUUUAAAGCAAGACGAGAUGGGGGGUAUAGGUGUUUUCAAUUACCGACAAAUUCAGAGCAAUUUCCUCCUCUUUCUGCCCACACCGCCAACUGAGAGGCUGAUGGGAGGCCUGAACAAAGAGGCAUGGAGAUCGCGAUUGUCUGACUGUGGGUUGGUGGGGAGGAGCAGGAGGGGGUUGGUUUUUGUCCAUCUGCCUUGCUCAUCUUUUUUCUGUCACCUUGCUGCUAGGAUUCCCCUUUUUUGUCACUGGCUGCAAACAUGAACAUGUCACAUGUCUGCUCUCCAGUGCCUUGGACAGCGCCCCACUCUUGCUUACAUUGUUCACAGCCACACCUACAAAGUAAUCAGCGCUCAUUGCCUGAUGCCAACUCAUCACUAGACCUGCUCCCGCCUCAUUAACUCUCCUACUUAAACCCGACGUUCCCGUCACUCCUGGUCUGUUCGUCUGGCUUACUAACUGUCGGUUUGUUACCUGUUUCGGCGAUCUGCCUGUUAUACCUGUUCUGACUCCCAUUGUCGACCUUGCUUACAUGUUUGGCCAACCAUUCCUGAACACUGCCCGCACAAACUUUCUGCCAUGAACCGCCUUGAUCGUACUGAGAGGAGGCGUCAGCCAGAUUUCUGGAUAACUCGGUUCAUUAGUUCAGCUAGUGGAGCAACUCCAGAAGCGGCAACAUGUCCCAGGAGCUGGCCCGACUUCUCCAGGCUUAAGUGUUUUAGCCACCCCUCUGCCUCCCCCUCACCUGAACAACUCCUGCCUGGACGUGACACGCUGCUUUUGAUGGCUUCGUAUGCAGUUACUGGACCUGUCUUCUUCACAGCUGCAGCCUCUGGGCCUCUCUCGCUGCCCCGCCAGCUGCAGUUCCCUGCCUUUUUGCCUCAACUGCAGCCUAUGGUCUUGUUCACUCGAUUGCUGCGGUCUCUGAUCUCAUCCUUUUGACAGCUGCAGUACCUUGUCUCGACAUCUGCAGUUCCCUGUCUCGUUGCUUCAACAGCUGUAGCUCCCUGUCUUAUCACUUGGACAGCUGCAAACACCUGUUUUGUCAUUUCGGCAGCUUGAGCACCAAGUCCAGUCUCCACGACAGCUACAGUCCUGACUCCAGUCUCCUCAACAGCUGCAGAUUCCUGUCUCGUCACUUUGACAGUUGCAGGUUUCUGGUUCGUUGCCUUGGCUGUUGCAGCCCCAAGUCCGGUCUCGUCGACAGCCAAUGCAACCUGUGGUCCCGUCGCCUCAGCAACCGCUGCAACAUGCGGUCCCGUCGCCUCAACAGCCGCUGCGACCUGCGGUUCCGUCGCCUCAACAGCCGCUGCCCUGCGGUCCCGUUGCCUCGACUGCUGUGGCCUCCUGGCCCUGCCCUUUGAUAGCCGCCACCCAAUCUUGGUCCAGCAGCACACGUCAGCUUGUGGGUGAUUGACGGCUGUAUCCAAAGUCCGGAACCAAACACAUUUAAAAAAAAAAUAAUCAAAAAUUAUAUUUCUUUGCAGUUAUGUAUCUAAACAUCAGAAACCUCAACACGGACAAUAGUCUCGUCCUCCCUGAUCUUGCACAGUUUGCAACAUGAACAUAUGAAAGGACUGAAAGAAACCUAUAUCAACCAUGUUACUCCCCUUGCUCCCCAACCAAGGAUAUACAUAAGAAUAUUUGGACACUUUAUCAAUUCAGAAACCAAAACUACAAAUCUUUAACAAUGGAUUUGUGCCGUCUAUUUAGUAGUAUCGUAGCGUUCAGUCACAAUUGCAAAACCUUCAAGUAAAUACAAUGUGUGUGGGAACCCAAAUCCCUAAAAAAACAUUUUAUUUCCACUGCAUCAUACACACUCGGUUUGACAAAGCUCUACAUAAAGCAAAUGCUUUCCCACUGUCAAAACCAGGAACUAUGAGGUGCCGUUCUUUCUAUAAUUUUUCCAAUAUGGAACUCCACUUUUUUGCUGCAGUAUUGUUUUUCUUGGUUCCUUCAUUCUUGUUUUGAACAGAAUGUGUCUCUAACCAUGCCAAACAGCAAUUUUAAGCAUGGUAAUUUCUGAAAUGUCUAAGUAAACAUGUGCACUUGCAUUUUUGUGCGGAAAAAGGGCAACUGUA
Syngnathus typhle (broad-nosed pipefish) is the source of this 5776-nucleotide long non-coding RNA. RefSeq lists it as uncharacterized. NCBI's taxonomy places the organism in Eukaryota, Metazoa, Chordata, Actinopteri, Syngnathiformes, Syngnathidae. The record is from RefSeq and is a predicted model, not a curated record. The transcript is spliced from 3 exons.